Ochotona princeps (American pika) is the source of this 664-nucleotide long non-coding RNA. RefSeq lists it as uncharacterized. The transcript has 3 exons. The record is from RefSeq and is a predicted model, not a curated record. Lineage: Eukaryota; Metazoa; Chordata; Mammalia; Lagomorpha; Ochotonidae.
UGCCCGCAGCACUGCGACGUUUGGGGAGGGGGCGGGGCUCCGAGUCGGGGCUGCGACCGCACAACCUUUUGUGGUUUGCGCUGAGAGAAAAGGGCGGAGUCUCGGGGCAGGGGAAGGGGGUGUGGCGGGAAGGACUGGCGCAGUUACGCCGCGGUUCGCGGCUUCUCGCGACGGCCGCCAAUAUGGAGGCCACGGGUCGGUCUUAAUGUGACUGGAAAGCUAACGUAAACUCCUCUCCGUGAGGGGAGGAGGAAAAGACGAGGCGGCCCACGCUGUCGGCUCUCGCUCUCGUGGUUUCCGCCCUGCCAGCCCCGAGGGGACAGCACCUUGCCCUUCUCCUCUUCGACCUGUACCAGUUCCCAUCACAGGCCACUGGAAUAAAUACAACGGCUGCGGCCCCCAGACACCUUGCUGAGUUUGAAGCCCGGGCAGCAGAUUCACAGCUUGAGUUUCGUGUGGCUUCCAGGAUUCCUGAGGCGUGGUUCUGACCAGGAAUUCUUUUUAUCUUCGUUGUGUAUGAAUCCAGCCUUCAGACACCGAGCAGGGAACGUGUGAGAAGAGCAUGAGUGUGUUGUAAAAGAGCCUUGACCAUCGCGGCCAGUGCCCGGGCUGACCACACAGCAUCCCAUUACCAACAGCAGCCAGUGCCACCCGCAAGCUCACU